UUGCCUUUCUCUGUGUGUAAUUCUGCCAUAACACCUUAACAAAGGAAAUUUUCCAUUUGCGGAGUAUUUUGCUCUUUCGGUUCAUAAUGCCUACCGAUACCUCCUCAUAGGACAGAUCCUCCUGAAGUGAGAGGGGCUCAUGGGCCAAGAUGUGAGAGAGGUCUGAGUUGUACUUGCGUAGCAUGGACACAUGAAACACAUUAUGGAUCUGAAUAGUUCUAGAAGUAAUUUCAGUCUGUAGACAGCGGUACCAAUUUUGUCUAAGAUUUCAAAUGACUCAAUAAACUGAGAAUUUAGUUUCCCCCCCUUGCCAAGUCUACUGAUUCUCUUGAAAUGAGUGACCUUAAGGAACACUCGAUCACCUUUCUCAAAUUCUAAAUCCCUCCUUUAGGGGUCUGCAUAACUCUUCUACCUGCUCUGAGUCAUCUGGAUGUUUCAUUGUAGUCUCCUCCACAAGAUAUGGGUCGAACAAUUUUCUAUCACCCACCUCUUCCCAACAGAUCGGUGAUUU
RNAcentral lists this long non-coding RNA (511 nucleotides) under Carica papaya (papaya). RNAcentral's name for it is "long non-coding RNA (CPAP_LNC003820)". Lineage: Eukaryota; Viridiplantae; Streptophyta; Magnoliopsida; Brassicales; Caricaceae. The record is from RNAcentral.